AUUUAUGGACAAUGGUCGCAAGCCUGAUCCAGCCAUGCCGCGUGAGUGAAGAAGGCCAUCGGUAUGUAAAGCUUUUCCGGACGGAAAGAACUCGCGCAGGCUAAUACCCUCCACUUAUGACGGUACCGCCUUAUGGUGUCGCCGCUCACACACAGCCAGCCUCCGCGGUAAUACGUAGGGUGCGAGCGUUAAUCGGAAUUCCUGGGCGUAAAGCGUGCGCAGGCGGUUGAUUAAGACAGGCGUGAAAUCCCCGGGCUUAACCUGGGAACUGCGCUUGUGACUGGUCAGCUAGAGUACGGCAGAGGGGGGUGGAAUUCCACGUGUAGCAGUGAAAUGCGUAGAGAUGUGGAGGAACACCGAUGGCGAAGGCAGCCCCCUGGGCCGAUACUGACGCUCAUGCACGAAAGCGUGGGUAGCAAACAGG
Molecule: ribosomal RNA, 424 nt
Filed under: uncultured bacterium
Lineage: Bacteria
Description: partial 16S ribosomal RNA
Rfam family: Bacterial small subunit ribosomal RNA
Source: RNAcentral